Molecule: unclassified non-coding RNA, 352 nt
Filed under: soil metagenome
Description: partial contains 5.8S ribosomal RNA, internal transcribed spacer 2, and large subunit ribosomal RNA
Rfam family: 5.8S ribosomal RNA (bases 1-120)
Source: RNAcentral
GAUGAAGAACGUAGCGAAAUGCGAUAAGUAAUGUGAAUUGCAGAAUUCAGUGAAUCAUCGAAUCUUUGAACGCACAUUGCGCCCGCCAGUAUUCUGGCGGGCAUGCCUGUUCGAGCGUCAUUACAACCCUCAGGCCCCCGGGCCUGGCGUUGGGGAUCGGCGGAAGCCCCCUGUGGGCACACGCCGUCCCUCAAAUACAGUGGCGGUCCCGCCGCAGCUUCCUUUGCGUAGUAGCUAACACCUCGCAACUGGAGAGCGGCGCGGCCAUGCCGUAAAACACCCAACUUCUGAAUGUUGACCUCGAAUCAGGUAGGAAUACCCGCUGAACUUAAGCAUAUCAAUAAGCGGAGGA